AAUGGGAUAGCUGGGUCAAAUGGUGGCUCCAUUCCCAGCUAUCCAAGGAAUCUCCAUACUGCUUUGCAUAUUGGCUGCACCAAUUUGCAGACCCACCAGCAAU
RNAcentral lists this microRNA precursor (103 nucleotides) under Marmota monax (woodchuck). Lineage: Eukaryota; Metazoa; Chordata; Mammalia; Rodentia; Sciuridae. The record is from RNAcentral.